GAUGAACGCUGGCUACAGGCUUAGCACAUGCAAGUCGAGGGGAAACGACGGGGAAGCUUGCUUCCCCGGGCGUCGACCGGCGCACGGGUGAGUAACGCGUAUCCAACCUGCCUCUGACUGAGGGAUAACCCGUCGAAAGUCGGCCUAAUACCUCAUGGCAUCGUCUGCGGGCAUCCAACGACGAUUAAAGAUUUCAUCGGUCAGAGAUGGGGAUGCGUCUGAUUAGCUUGUUGGCGGGGUAACGGCCCACCAAGGCGACGAUCAGUAGGGGUUCUGAGAGGAAGGUCCCCCACAGUGGAACUGAGACACGGUCCAAACUCCUACGGGAGGCAGCAGUGAGGAAUAUUGGUCAAUGGGCGAGAGCCUGAACCAGCCAAGUAGCGUGCAGGAUGACGGCCCUAUGGGUUGUAAACUGCUUUUAUGCGGGGAUAAAGUGAGGGACGUGUCCUUCAUUGCAGGUACCGCAUGAAUAAGGACCGGCUAAUUCCGUG
RNAcentral lists this ribosomal RNA (491 nucleotides) under uncultured bacterium. RNAcentral's name for it is "partial 16S ribosomal RNA". It matches the Rfam family "Bacterial small subunit ribosomal RNA", at positions 28 to 507 of the family's 1533-position model. The record is from RNAcentral.